ACGGAAGGCAGCAGUGGGGAAUAUUGCACAAUGGGGGAAACCCUGAUGCAGCGACGCCGCGUGAAGGAAGAAGUAUUUCGGUAUGUAAACUUCUAUCAGCAGGGAAGAAGAAAGUGACGGUACCUGACUAAGAAGCCCCGGCUAACUACGUGCCAGCAGCCGCGGUAAUACGUAGGGGGCAAGCGUUAUCCGGAUUUACUGGGUGUAAAGGGAGCGUAGGCGGCUGAGCAAGUCAGAAGUGAAAGCCCGCGGCUUAACUGCGGGACUGCUUUUGAAACUGCCCAGCUUGAUUGCCGGAGAGGUAAGUGGAAUUCCUAGUGUAGCGGUGAAAUGCGUAGAUAUUAGGAGGAACACCAGUGGCGAAGGCGGCUUACUGGACGGUAAAUGACGCUGAGGCUCGAAAGCGUGGGGAGCAAACAGGAUUAGAUACCCUGGUA
Molecule: ribosomal RNA, 437 nt
Filed under: uncultured Lachnospiraceae bacterium
Lineage: Bacteria; Bacillati; Bacillota; Clostridia; Lachnospirales; Lachnospiraceae
Description: bacterial SSU rRNA
Rfam family: Bacterial small subunit ribosomal RNA
Source: RNAcentral